Non-coding RNA from Orycteropus afer afer, 371 nucleotides. The record is from the annotation of a RefSeq genome assembly. Lineage: Eukaryota; Metazoa; Chordata; Mammalia; Tubulidentata; Orycteropodidae.
AACACAGACGAGUCUCCAUGGAGUCUGUGCUGAGCUGGGUUUUCCUUGUUGCUCUACUAAAAGGCGUCCAGUGUGAAGUGCAGCUGGUGGAGUCUGGAGGAGACUUGAGACAGCCUGGGGGGUCCCUGAGACUCUCCUGUGCAGUGUCUGGAUUCACCAUCAGUAAUUCUUAUAUGAACUGGGUCUGCCAGGCUGCAGGGAAGGGGCUGCAGUGGGUCUCACAUAUUACUAGUAGCGGUAGCACAUACUACGCAGACUCCGUGAAGGGCCGAUUCACCAUCUCCAGAGACAACGCCAAGAACACGCUGGAUCUGCAAAUGAACAGUCUGAAACUGAACUCUGUUUCCUCUGAGGACAUGACCAUGUUUUAG